RNAcentral lists this unclassified non-coding RNA (201 nucleotides) under fungal sp. Its description in RNAcentral is "partial internal transcribed spacer region". The stretch from base 1 to 46 matches the Rfam family "Eukaryotic small subunit ribosomal RNA", at positions 1786 to 1831 of the family's 1831-position model. Lineage: Eukaryota; Fungi. The record is from RNAcentral.
AAGUCGUAACAAGGUUUCCGUAGGUGAACCUGCGGAAGGAUCAUCAACAAAUCUAUACUGUUGGGUGUAAAAGCCCAACAAAUACCAAUGUGAAUUGGGAGGGCAACCUCUCUAGGCCAAUUUUUGGCCAAGUAUACUAGACCAGAGUCGGAUAAGUAAAAAUAAUAUAAACAACUUUUAACAAUGGAUCUCUUGGCUCUU